Molecule: long non-coding RNA, 386 nt
Organism: Vitis riparia (riverbank grape)
Lineage: Eukaryota; Viridiplantae; Streptophyta; Magnoliopsida; Vitales; Vitaceae
Exons: 2
Source: RefSeq, a predicted model, not a curated record
CUUCAAUCUCUGAUUCAGAGAGAAACCCGGAAGAAUUUUCAGAAGCACAAUGACAGAAGAAGCAACCCCAACCCAUAAGCCUUCCACUUUGAUGACGCUCCUCUCAACCUCGAUUUUCCUUCGCUUUUCUCAGCCGCCAAACGGGUUUUGAGGAGAUUGUUGAUUGCGUUGGUGUCUGGUUUAUUUCAAAGAAACGGCAUCGAAAGAGAGGGGAGAAGGGGGGCUGUCUAAUUUUAUUUUUCUUCUCUACCGUAGGAAAAUUUGGGGGUGAUAUGAUUAUAGGUGAAGCUCACUUGCUUCAGAAAUAUGGGAUCGUCCUUGUACUUGUCUGACUUUUUAUUUGGGAUUAUUGUGAUGUAUUGAAUAUGAUUGGGGUGUAUCUGGAA